CCCUAAACGAUGUCAACUAGUUGUUGGGGAUUCAUUUCCUUUAGUAAACGUAGCUAACGCGUGAAGUUGACCGCCUGGGGAGUACGGUCGCAAGAUUAAAACUCAAAGGAAUUGACGGGGACCCGCACAAGCGGUGGAUGAUGUGGAUUAAUUUNGAUGCAACGCGAAAAACCUUACCUACCCUUGACAUCCUCGGAACCCUGGUGAGAGCUGGGGGUGCUCGAAAGAGAACCGACACACAGGUGCUGCAUGGCUGUCGUCAGCUCGUGUCGCUGAGAUGUUGGGUUAAGUCCCGCAACGAGCGCAACCCUUGUCCUUAGUUGCUACGCAAGAGCACUCUAAGGAGACUGCCGGUGACAAACCGGAGGAAGGUGGGGAUGACGUCAAGUCCUCAUGGCCCUUAUGGGUAGGGCUUCACACGUCAUACAAUGGUCGGAACAGAGGGUCGCUAAGCCGCGAGGUGGAGCCAAUCCCAGAAAACCGAUCGUAGUCCGGAUCGUAGUCUGCAACUCGACUACGUGAAGCUGGAAUCGCUAGUAAUCGCGGAUCAGCAUGCCGCGGUGAAUACGUUCCCGGGUCUUGUACACACCGCCCGUCACACCAUGGGAGUGGGUUUUACCAGAAGUGGCUAGUCUAACCGCAAGGAGGACGGUCACCACGGUAGGAUUCAGACUGGGGUCAAGUCGUAACAAGGUACCCG
Molecule: ribosomal RNA, 700 nt
Filed under: uncultured Pseudomonadota bacterium
Lineage: Bacteria; Pseudomonadati; Pseudomonadota
Description: bacterial SSU rRNA
Rfam family: Bacterial small subunit ribosomal RNA
Source: RNAcentral